AGAGUUUGAUCCUGGCUCAGAUUGAACGCUGGCGGUAGGCCUAACACAUGCAAGUCGAACGCGAAAGUCCUUCGGGAUGAGUAGAGUGGCGGACGGGUGAGUAACGCGUAGGAAUCUAUCCUGUAGUGGGGGAUAACGUUUCGAAAGGAACGCUAAUACCGCAUACGCCCCAAGGGGGAAAGCGGGGGGAUCUUCGGACCUCGUGCUAUAGGAGGAGCCUGCGUCGGAUUAGCUAGUUGGUGAGGUAAAGGCUCACCAAGGCGACGAUCCGUAGCUGGUCUGAGAGGAUGAUCAGCCACACCGGAACUGAGACACGGUCCGGACUCCUACGGGAGGCAGCAGUGGGGAAUAUUGCGCAAUGGGCGAAAGCCUGACGCAGCCAUACCGCGUGUGUGAAGAGGGCCUUCGGGUUGUAAAGCACUUUCAGUGGGGAGGAAAAGCUGGUGGCUAAUAUCCAUCGGCCGUGACGCUACCCACAGAAGAAGCACCGGCUAAUUCCGUG
Molecule: ribosomal RNA, 502 nt
Filed under: uncultured bacterium
Lineage: Bacteria
Description: bacterial SSU rRNA
Rfam family: Bacterial small subunit ribosomal RNA
Source: RNAcentral